CAGCUUGCUGCUUCGCUGACGAGUGGCGGACGGGUGAGUAAUGUCUGGGAAACUGCCCGAUGGAGGGGGAUAACUACUGGAAACGGUAGCUAAUACCGCAUAACGUCGCAAGACCAAAGAGGGGGACCUUCGGGCCUCUUGCCAUCGGAUGUGCCCAGAUGGGAUUAGCUUGUUGGUGAGGUAACGGCUCACCAAGGCGACGAUCCCUAGCUGGUCUGAGAGGAUGACCAGCCACACUGGAACUGAGACACGGUCCAGACUCCUACGGGAGGCAGCAGUGGGGAAUAUUGCACAAUGGGCGCAAGCCUGAUGCAGCCAUGCCGCGUGUAUGAAGAAGGCCUUCGGGUUGUAAAGUACUUUCAGCGGGGAGGAAGGUGUUGUGGUUAAUAACCGCAACAAUUGACGUUACCCGCAGAAGAAGCACCGGCUAACUCCGUGCCAGCAGCCGCGGUAAUACGGAGGGUGCAAGCGUUAAUCGGAAUUACUGGGCGUAAAGCGCACGCAGGCGGUCUGUCAAGUCGGAUGUGAAAUCCCCGGGCUCAACCUGGGAACUGCAUUCGAAACUGGCAGGCUUGAGUCUCGUAGAGGGGGGUAGAAUUCCAGGUGUAGCGGUGAAAUGCGUAGAGAUCUGGA
RNAcentral lists this ribosomal RNA (633 nucleotides) under Citrobacter freundii. Its description in RNAcentral is "bacterial SSU rRNA". It matches the Rfam family "Bacterial small subunit ribosomal RNA", at positions 76 to 702 of the family's 1533-position model. The record is from RNAcentral. Lineage: Bacteria; Pseudomonadati; Pseudomonadota; Gammaproteobacteria; Enterobacterales; Enterobacteriaceae.